This 892-nucleotide ribosomal RNA is filed under the name uncultured bacterium. RNAcentral describes it as "bacterial SSU rRNA". It matches the Rfam family "Bacterial small subunit ribosomal RNA", at positions 21 to 886 of the family's 1533-position model. The record is from RNAcentral.
GGCUCAGAACGAACGCUGGCGGCGUGCCUAACACAUGCAAGUCGAACGAGAAGUACGUAGCAAUACGUAUUGUAAAGUGGCGCACGGGUGAGUAACACGUGGGUAAUCUGCCCUUGAGUUUGGGAUAACCCCGCGAAAGCGGGGCUAAUACCGAAUAAGACCACGGGGACCAAAGUCCCUGAGGUAAAAGGUGGCCUCUAUUUAUAAGCUACCACUUGAGGAUGAGCCCGCGGCCCAUUAGCUAGUUGGCAGGGUAAUGGCCUACCAAGGCAAUGAUGGGUAGCUGGUCUGAGAGGACGAUCAGCCACACUGGAACUGAGACACGGUCCAGACUCCUACGGGAGGCAGCAGUGGGGAAUAUUGCGCAAUGGGCGAAAGCCUGACGCAGCAACGCCGCGUGGGGGAUGAAGGUUCUCGGAUUGUAAACCCCUUUCGAUCGGAACGAAUCCCCUCCUGGUAAAUAAUCAGGAGGAUCGACGGUACCGAGAGAAGAAGCCACGGCUAACUCUGUGCCAGCAGCCGCGGUAAGACAGAGGUGGCGAGCGUUGUUCGGAUUUAUUGGGCGUAAAGCGAACGCAGGUGGUUUGGUAAGUCAGGGGUGAAAGACCACAGCUUAACUGUGGCAUUGCCUUUGAUACUGCCUUUCUUGAGUAGAGUAGGGGGAAGCGGAAUUCCGAGUGUAGAGGUGAAAUUCGUAGAUAUUCGGAGGAACACCGGUGGCGAAGGCGGCUUCCUGGACUCUAACUGACACUCAUGUUCGAAAGCGUGGGGAGCAAACAGGAUUAGAUACCCUGGUAGUCCACGCCCUAAACGAUGGGCACUAGGUGUGGGAGGUAUCGACCCCUUCCGUGCCGCAGCUAACGCAUUAAGUGCCCCGCCUGGGGAGUACGGC